AGAGUUUGAUCAUGGCUCAGGACGAACGCUGGCGGCGUGCCUAAUACAUGCAAGUAGAACGCUGAAGAGAGGAGCUUGCUCUUCUUGGAUGAGUUGCGAACGGGUGAGUAACGCGUAGGUAACCUGCCUUGUAGCGGGGGAUAACUAUUGGAAACGAUAGCUAAUACCGCAUAACAAUGGAUGACCCAUGUCAUUUAUUUGAAAGGGGCAAAUGCUCCACUACAAGAUGGACCUGCGUUGUAUUAGCUAGUAGGUGAGGUAACGGCUCACCUAGGCGACGAUACAUAGCCGACCUGAGAGGGUGAUCGGCCACACUGGGACUGAGACACGGCCCAGACUCCUACGGGAGGCAGCAGUAGGGAAUCUUCGGCAAUGGGGGCAACCCUGACCGAGCAACGCCGCGUGAGUGAAGAAGGUUUUCGGAUCGUAAAGCUCUGUUGUAAGUCAAGAACGAGUGUGAGAGUGGAAAGUUCACACUGUGACGGUAGCUUACCAGAAAGGGACGGCUAACUACGUGCCAGCAGCCGCGGUAAUACGUAGGUCCCGAGCGUUGUCCGGAUUUAUUGGGCGUAAAGCGAGCGCAGGCGGUUUGAUAAGUCUGAAGUUAAAGGCUGUGGCUCAACCAUAGUUCGCUUUGGAAACUGUCAAACUUGAGUGCAGAAGGGGAGAGUGGAAUUCCAUGUGUAGCGGUGAAAUGCGUAGAUAUAUGGAGGAACACCGGUGGCGAAAGCGGCUCUCUGGUCUGUAACUGACGCUGAGGCUCGAAAGCGUGGGGAGCGAACAGGAUUAGAUACCCUGGUAGUCCACGCCGUAAACGAUGAGUGCUAGGUGUUGGAUCCUUUCCGGGAUUCAGUGCCGCAGCUAACGCAUUAAGCACUCCGCCUGGGGAGUACGACCGCAAGGUUGAAACUCAAAGGAAUUGACGGGGGCCCGCACAAGCGGUGGAGCAUGUGGUUUAAUUCGAAGCAACGCGAAGAACCUUACCAGGUCUUGACAUCCCGAUGCUAUUUCUAGAGAUAGAAAGUUACUUCGGUACAUCGGUGACAGGUGGUGCAUGGUUGUCGUCAGCUCGUGUCGUGAGAUGUUGGGUUAAGUCCCGCAACGAGCGCAACCCCUAUUGUUAGUUGCCAUCAUUCAGUUGGGCACUCUAGCGAGACUGCCGGUAAUAAACCGGAGGAAGGUGGGGAUGACGUCAAAUCAUCAUGCCCCUUAUGACCUGGGCUACACACGUGCUACAAUGGUUGGUACGACGAGUUGCGAGUCGGUGACGGCAAGCUAAUCUCUUAAAGCCAAUCUCAGUUCGGAUUGUAGGCUGCAACUCGCCUACAUGAAGUCGGAAUCGCUAGUAAUCGCGGAUCAGCACGCCGCGGUGAAUACGUCCCCGGGCCUUGUACACACCGCCCGUCACACCACGAGAGUUUGUAACACCCGAAGUCGGUGAGGUAACCUUUUGGAGCCAGCCGCCUAAGGUGGGAUAGAUGAUUGGGGUGAAGUCAUAACAAGGUA
This 1506-nucleotide ribosomal RNA is filed under the name metagenome. RNAcentral's name for it is "bacterial SSU rRNA". It matches the Rfam family "Bacterial small subunit ribosomal RNA". The record is from RNAcentral.